Molecule: long non-coding RNA, 476 nt
Organism: Cydia splendana
Lineage: Eukaryota; Metazoa; Arthropoda; Insecta; Lepidoptera; Tortricidae
Exons: 2
Source: RefSeq, a predicted model, not a curated record
UAUAGUAAUGAUGAUUUCAACAAAGAAGUGUAACAAUAAAGUAAAAUAACAUGAUUCUCAUUUAUAAGUUUAUAACAGUUGUAAUUUCAAGUUUGACAAUAUUAAAGUUUCAGUAAUUUUAGUUGUAUAAUGUUGGUAAUGUAUAAGUAGUUUCAGCUUCAGGCCCGCCCAAAUUAAAUGGAAGUAAAUUAACUUAUAAGAAGAAUAAUAAAAUGUUUUUCUAAAUUUAAAGUUAUAGUUUUGAAAUAAUGGCAUGUAAGGGUAAGAUAAAUGUGAAAUUUAAAAUUAAAACAAUACAAAUAUUCUUUUCAAUUUAAAUUUCAAAGGGCAUGUAAGGGCAAAGUCGAUGUUUAAGUCGAACCAUAAUACUCUCAUUCGAUAGGUAAUAACAACACUAGAGAAAUAAGGAUAGACAUAUGUAAAAACACUUAGGUUAAAAAGAGAUAGCGCUAUACGAAUAAAGAACACUUCCAAGA